This 497-nucleotide ribosomal RNA is filed under the name uncultured bacterium. Its description in RNAcentral is "partial 16S ribosomal RNA". It matches the Rfam family "Bacterial small subunit ribosomal RNA", at positions 28 to 507 of the family's 1533-position model. The record is from RNAcentral.
GAUGAACGCUGGCGGCGUGCCUAAUACAUGCAAGUCGAGCGAACAGACGAGGGGCUUGCUCCUCUGACGUUAGCGGCGGACGGGUGAGUAACACGUGGAUAACCUACCUAUAAGACUGGGAUAACUUCGGGAAACCGGAGCUAAUACCGGAUAAUAUAUUGAACCGCAUGGUUCAAUAGUGAAAGACGGUUUUGCUGUCACUUAUAGAUGGAUCCGCGCCGCAUUAGCUAGUUGGUAAGGUAACGGCUUACCAAGGCAACGAUGCGUAGCCGACCUGAGAGGGUGAUCGGCCAAACUGGAACUGAGGAACGGUCCAGACUCCUACGGGAGGCAGCAGUAGGGAAUCUUCGGAAAUGGGCGAAAGCCUGACGGAGCAACGCCGCGUGAGUGAUGAAGGUCUUCGGAUCGUAAAACUCUGUUAUUAGGGAAGAACAAAUGUGUAAGUAACUAUGCACGUCUUGACGGUACCUAAUCAGAAAGCCACGGCUAACUACGUG